Molossus molossus (Pallas's mastiff bat) is the source of this 102-nucleotide small nuclear RNA. The record is from RefSeq and is a predicted model, not a curated record. Lineage: Eukaryota; Metazoa; Chordata; Mammalia; Chiroptera; Molossidae.
GUACUUGCUUUGGCAGCACAUACACUAAACUUGGAACGACAGAGAUUAGCAGGGCCCCAGCACAAGGAUGAAAUGCAAAUUAGUGAAGUGUUCCAUAGUUUU